This is a long non-coding RNA of Varroa destructor (honeybee mite), 379 nucleotides long. RefSeq lists it as uncharacterized. The record is from RefSeq and is a predicted model, not a curated record. NCBI's taxonomy places the organism in Eukaryota, Metazoa, Arthropoda, Arachnida, Mesostigmata, Varroidae.
CGAAUUGCGCGGGCAGCGCUGGAAAACGAAUGCAAUAAUCUUUCAACACUUGUUAGACAUUUACCGUGUUAUCCACGACAAUCGUGCGGAUAAGAUGAUUAUUGGAUAGUAACGGGAACCUCGCCGAGAAAAGAGGAUCAUGAUCGGAACUUAACUUUCAAGGACGGCUCAUAGAUGGCUAGCGAUAUCACCAUUUGGCCAUAAACAAAGUGUGACGGAGGAAGGAAUGACGUUUCUCACUACGAUCUGGAUGUUUUCUUAACUGUCGGUAUAAGGGUAGCACGGAAAAAUCUGCCAAGUAGAAGUGUGGUUCAGUGCUCAUAUUUAUAAUAUCACAUACACUUCGUUGGUGAGAGUUGUCAAUGCUUGCCUUUUAGUC